CCCUUAGAUGUUCUGGGCCGCACGCGCGCUACACUGUUCGACGCAGCGAGUCUUAACCUUGACCGAAAGGUUUGGGUAAUCUUCAGCAAAGUCGAACGUGAUGGGGAUCGAUCAUUGCAAUUAUUGAUCGUGAACGAGGAAUUCCUAGUAAGUGCAAGUCAUCAGCUUGCGCUGAUUACGUCCCUGCCCUUUGUACACACCGCCCGUCGCUACUACCGAUUGAAUGGUUUAGUGGGAUCUCUGGAUUGACGCUGGCUAGGGGGCGACCCUUGGCCAGACUGCUCGAGAAACUGCUCAAACUUGAUCAUUUAGAGGAAGUAAAAGUCGUAACA
This 332-nucleotide ribosomal RNA is filed under the name uncultured eukaryote. Its description in RNAcentral is "partial 18S ribosomal RNA". It matches the Rfam family "Eukaryotic small subunit ribosomal RNA", at positions 1470 to 1796 of the family's 1831-position model. The record is from RNAcentral.